This is a long non-coding RNA of Argiope bruennichi, 457 nucleotides long. RefSeq lists it as uncharacterized. The record is from RefSeq and is a predicted model, not a curated record. The transcript has 2 exons. NCBI's taxonomy places the organism in Eukaryota, Metazoa, Arthropoda, Arachnida, Araneae, Araneidae.
GGCAUAAUUAUUUCUAAAAUUUGUUUGACGCCAAAGAUCAGAAUGAAUUUAUAUAUAUAUGAAAUUGAGCUUCAUGACAUUGAUACUCAAAAAAGUCAUGAUUAUGUGACCAAAGAUGGGUAGUAACGACAUCACUGAGCUGACGGAAAAAUAUAGAAAGAACUCCGGAAAAUCUUAUGGAAGUGUGUUCUGUACCGCAGCAAGAAGUUGCAGAGGAGAUUUGAUCUGGAAAGAAAAAAAUAAUAGCUUCAACAGAGCUGCAGCCUUCCAGUGAAAUAAGGGAGACGCAGAAAGCUACUGUCUUAUCGCCCUGAUAAGGUAGUAGCUUUACACACUAAUUAAUUCUAUGGAUAAUGCUGUGCUUCAUUUUCGCCAAAUUUCGAAGCGUAUCCUAAGACAAUUGUCUUUAGACAGUUUUCUUGUAAAAAAAGUUAUGCAUUAAAAAUAGUAAUUUAUA